UUGGAACACAGCCAUGCUUUGCUCUGAGCUUUCACCGCCUUAUCGAGUUCCUAGAGUUGAACUUUGCAAGAUUUAGCCAGUUCAUUUUAUUUGCCUCAUCAGAAGCCCAGCUAUCUUCAGCUUGUUCCUGCAGACCUGGGUAUACAGAAGCAUGUGGACGCUCAGAGAAGGGAUUUGGAAGGUGGGGAAGAUUACAGUGAGGACUGAAACUCACAUCUCUGAACAACAGCAAAAAUAAUAAUGAAUCCUUCAUCCAGGUCAGGUGCAAAACAAAGAGAAACAUUCCCAAUGGAAGCUAAGUAACUCAUUCGGAGGAGAAAUAAGGGGGCCUUAAAAAACUUCUUUUAAAAAAUAAUAAUAAAGCUAUAUGUAUACUUAGCAGCUGGAAGUAGAGAAAAAUAAGCAUCAUGUGAUGAAAGUCUUCUUGUUGAAGCACAAGGUCCUUGACUUGCAACACAGGUCACCUGUUUUCAUGAACUUCCAGACAGCAGAAUAAAAGGCGAGGGCCAGCAUAUGGGAUGACUUAAAUUGGUGCGAGGGAAUGUGUGUGUCACUCAGACCGAGGCUGGGACGUGCUGCGUUAUUAGGCCCAGGCCAGGGCCAUGGUACGGUCAUAAAUCAAGAAUCGGGUGUUUGAGAACCAGUGGAAGUGUUAAGGAAACAUGAAGUGGCUGACCUGUGGGGCUGGGCCGUUACUCCCUACAUGAAUUUCAAUGACUAAUGAUGUGAAUAAAUGAGCACUUAACUUUCUCA
This is a long non-coding RNA of Erinaceus europaeus (western European hedgehog), 753 nucleotides long. RefSeq lists it as uncharacterized. The record is from RefSeq and is a predicted model, not a curated record. Lineage: Eukaryota; Metazoa; Chordata; Mammalia; Eulipotyphla; Erinaceidae. The transcript is spliced from 3 exons.